This 1252-nucleotide ribosomal RNA is filed under the name metagenome. RNAcentral's name for it is "bacterial LSU rRNA". It matches the Rfam family "Bacterial large subunit ribosomal RNA", at positions 1683 to 2925 of the family's 2925-position model. The record is from RNAcentral.
AAGGCGCUUGAGAGAACUCUGGAGAAGGAACUCGGCAAAUUGACACCGUAACUUCGGAAGAAGGUGUGCCUUUAGUAGGUGAACCAUUUACUUGGGGAGCCCAAUGAGGCCGCAGAGAAUCGGUGGCUGCAACUGUUUAUUAAAAACACAGCACUCUGCAAAGACGAAAGUCGACGUAUAGGGUGUGACUCCUGCCCGGUGCUGGAAGAUUAAAUGAUGGGGUGCAAGCUCUUGACUGAAGUCCCAGUAAACGGCGGCCGUAACAAUAACGGUCCUAAGGUAGCGAAAUUCCUUGUCGGGUAAGUUCCGACCUGCACGAAUGGAGUAAUGAUGGCCACACUGUCUCCUCCAGAGACUCAGCGAAGUUGAAAUGUUUGUGAUGAUGCAAUCUCCCCGCGGAAAGACGGAAAGACCCCAUGAACCUUUACUGUAGCUUUACAUUGGACUUUGAACAGAUCUGUGUAGGAUAGGUGGGAGGCUUUGAAGAGUGGACGCUAGUUUGCUUGGAGCCAACGUUGAAAUACCACCCUGGUGUGUUUGAGGUUCUAACCUUGGUCCCUUAUCGGGAUUGGGGACAGUGUAUGGUGGGCAGUUUGACUGGGGCGGUCUCCUCCCAAAGUGUAACGGAGGAGUUCGAAGGUACGCUAAAUACGGUCGGAAAUCGUGUUGAUAGUGCAUUGGCAUAAGCGUGCUUGACUGCGAGACCGACAAGUCGAGCAGGUACGAAAGUAGGACAAAGUGAUCCGGUGGUUCUGUAUGGAAGGGCCAUCGCUCAACGGAUAAAAGGUACUCUGGGGAUAACAGGCUGAUACCGCCCAAGAGUUCAUAUCGACGGCGGUGUUUGGCACCUCGAUGUCGGCUCAUCUCAUCCUGGGGCUGUAGCCGGUCCCAAGGGUAUGGCUGUUCGCCAUUUAAAGAGGUACGUGAGCUGGGUUUAAAACGUCGUGAGACAGUUUGGUCCCUAUCUUCCGUGGGCGCUGCAAGAUUGAGAGAGCCUGCUCCUAGUACGAGAGGACCGGAGUGGACGCACCUCUGGUGUAUCGGUUGUCACGCCAGUGGCAUCGCCGAGUAGCUAAGUGCGGAAGAGAUAACCGCUGAAAGCAUCUAAGCGGGAAACUCGUCUCAAGAUGAGUCUUGCCGGGGCCUAGAGCCCCCUGAAGGGUCGUUCGAGACCAGGACGUUGAUAGGCUGGGUGUGGAAGCGCGGUAACGCGUUAAGCUAACCAGUACUAAUUGCCCGUGAGGCUUGACUC